RNAcentral lists this ribosomal RNA (497 nucleotides) under uncultured bacterium. RNAcentral's name for it is "partial 16S ribosomal RNA". It matches the Rfam family "Bacterial small subunit ribosomal RNA", at positions 28 to 507 of the family's 1533-position model. The record is from RNAcentral.
GAUGAACGCUGGCGGCGUGCCUAAUACAUGCAAGUCGAGCGAACAGACGAGGAGCUUGCUCCUCUGACGUUAGCGGCGGACGGGUGAGUAACACGUGGAUAACCUACCUAUAAGACUGGGAUAACUUCGGGAAACCGGAGCUAAUACCGGAGAAUAUAUUGAACCGCAUGGGUCAAUAGUGAAAGACGGUUUUGCUGUCACUUAUAGAUGGAUCCGCGCCGCAUUAGCUAGUUGGUAAGGUAACGGCUUACCAAGGCGACGAUGCGUAGCCGACCUGAGAGGGUGAUCGGCCACCCUGGAACUUGGCCACGGUCCAGGCUCCUACGGGAGGCAGCAGUAGGGAAUCUUCCGCAAUGGGCGAAAGCCUGACGGAGCAACGCCGCGUGAGUGAUGAAGGUCUUCGGAUCGUAAAACUCUGUUAUUAGGGAAGAACAAAUGUGUAAGUAACUAUGCACGUCUUGACGGUACCUAAUCAGAAAGCCACGGCUAACUACGUG